RNAcentral lists this ribosomal RNA (297 nucleotides) under uncultured bacterium. RNAcentral's name for it is "partial 16S ribosomal RNA". It matches the Rfam family "Bacterial small subunit ribosomal RNA", at positions 356 to 669 of the family's 1533-position model. The record is from RNAcentral.
GGGGAAUAUUGGACAAUGGGGGCAACCCUGAUCCAGCAAUGCCGCGUGUGUGAAGAAGGUCUUCGGAUUGUAAAGCACUCUCGACGGGGACGAUGAUGACGGUACCCGUAGAAGAAGCCCCGGCUAACUUCGUGCCAGCAGCCGCGGUAAUACGAAGGGGGCUAGCGUUGCUCGGAAUGACUGGGCGUAAAGGGCGUGUAGGCGGUUUACACAGUCAGAUGUGAAAUCCCCGGGCUUAACCUGGGAGCUGCAUUUGAUACGUGUAGACUAGAGUGUGAGAGAGGGUUUGUGGAAUUC